AAUAAACAAAUUCGUGGUUUCCGUGUUUAACCUUUGAUCAUCCGUCUUAUAUGAUUUUUUUUAUGAUUAGUAUUUUUAUUGUUAUUAGAUGAUAAAACAUAAAUAAUACUUUAUGCGUGACAUCUUUUUAAAAAAAUUUAUAAUUUUUUUAAAUAAAACGAACGGUCAAAGGUUAUGCAUGAAAACCCACGAAUCUAUUUAUU
This is a non-coding RNA of Oryza barthii, 203 nucleotides long. The record is from Rfam. Lineage: Eukaryota; Viridiplantae; Streptophyta; Magnoliopsida; Poales; Poaceae.